This 201-nucleotide long non-coding RNA is filed under the name Elaeis guineensis (African oil palm). RNAcentral describes it as "long non-coding RNA (EGUI_LNC051301)". Lineage: Eukaryota; Viridiplantae; Streptophyta; Magnoliopsida; Arecales; Arecaceae. The record is from RNAcentral.
GUCUGGGAUAGCUAGAUUUUGCCAUGAAUGGUGAAUUGAGCUAGGAUUUGAUCUUGUAGUCUCUCCCUAACUCUUUUUCUUAGUUUGUCAUAAAUUAUCAUAUGAACAAAUUAAACAUCAGCCUGCCAAAACUGCUGAACAUACUGAAAAUAGCAGAGAGUCAUUUCAAGGGAGAAAAAGCUCUAAUACUUCUUAUUGAUA